Mobula hypostoma (lesser devil ray) is the source of this 3676-nucleotide non-coding RNA. The record is from the annotation of a RefSeq genome assembly. NCBI's taxonomy places the organism in Eukaryota, Metazoa, Chordata, Chondrichthyes, Myliobatiformes, Myliobatidae.
AGACAACUGACGCUGCUGUCUGGAACCUUCUCUACUUAACAGGCUUUCUGGUCGUGAAGAAACAAUGAAUAUUUUGUGUGUAUCGAUAUUUUUAGCGUGGCUACCCAAUGCCUUCAGUGCACGGGUAGAACAGACACCAAGAGAAGCAACAAAACAACCAGGCGAAACUCUGACCAUCAACUGUGUUUUAAAAGAUACUUCCUAUGACCUGUGUAGCACAUAUUGGUACCGCCAAAGGCCGGGUCAAAGCAAUAGGGAAAGCUUAUCGAUUGGAGGACGAUAUGCGGAAACUGUCAACAAGCCAACAAAGACCUUUUCCCUGAAGAUCAGGAAUCUAAUACCCGAAGACACAGCCACAUAUUUCUGCAACGCUUACUACGCCACAGUAACGAAACUGAGCACAAGCCAAUUCAAAUACGUUUGAAAAUCUUUCACGCAAGAAACUGUUAUUGCUUCGGUCCUGUGGAAAAGAAAAUUGCUGAGCAGUAAUGGAUUCCACCGUAGAGCGAGGGUUGGUUUAUAAAAAGUUAGCGACAGUCACUAUGCCGCAUAUAUCCAAGUGGGCACCGUUGGAGGUGCAGCGUCACUCUCCUUCCAGAGUUAUGCAAAUGGCGACUUUAUUGCUAUUGAAUCAACCACUGUGCCAGUAUAUACUGUCACAGUGAUCCAAAACACGGACUCUGCAAUUCAAAAAACACCAAUGCAUUUGGUAAUUGGAGAAAGGACAAUGCUAACCUAUUUCUGAACCGUACAAUGCAGACACUAUUUUCGAAGGAUUAUUGGUCAUAAAAGUAGUUGUACGGAAUAUAAACGGUGUUCAGCAAGAUUGUAAUUUGCGCCUUGACCUCAUGAUCUUGUAUUGAUGUACAAGGAACCUUUUAGUAUUAGUAUCAAUGACUGUGUGUGUGGGGAUGUCACAGUGAUGAAUCUUCAAUUCCCGUCAUACGUAAAUCUCCUCCACAGUUCUUUAUGCAAAACUAAUGCAAGACAUUCAUUCAGCGACUAAAACUUUUCACUCCCAAACAUUCUACCUCUGCCAGACACUGGUACGCAUAAUGGAGCCUUCCUCUAUAUAUUUGUGUAAUUGUAGUGCAAAUGCUAUAAUCAUAUUAAUAACAAAGCUUUGAUAUUUUCCUUAAUAUCUGCCUGGCUGGGAGUUAUUUCGACGGAAGCGAAUAAAACCAUUUCAUUCAUGUCCAGUGCCCUCAUUUCAUGGAGGUAUAGGAUUACUUGACGGACUUAUACACUAUUUACAACAGUGAGGUUAUUGUACUCAAGUGAAAUGAUGUGCCUGUACUAUGCCACAGUGGUCUAGGCCAUAGCACAAACCUCCGGAAAAGUUUUAUUUUAUUCGUUGAUUUGUAAAUGGGAUUACAAACUGUACCUUUACAUUCAUGGAUGUUGCUCGACAUAAUUUGGAAAAAAAAACUUCUUCUUUGGGUUGAAUUCUACCCAGAUUCCUUGGUUCUCAAUUAUCAAAAUUCCUGUUUCAAUAUCACAUGCCCUUAUAAUGCGCCAAACAAACACAAGGGCGGAGGAAAACUGAAAGAAAUUGAGACCCAUUGACAACUUGAAUAUAUUGUUAAGCCUUUUGUUCCAGUCUUAUUCUGGAAGACCUACCUCUAUAAUUCACUUUUAAUGAUUACUUUCUGUACUGGGAUGUAUUGGAAGUAAAUUAUUGUGUGACGAAUACGGAGGUGGCACAAAGCUGACUGUGAAAGCUGCAAGGCAACCGAUAGCACCAAAUAUCAAUCUUGUCUAUUCUGCAACUGACGAAAAAAAGGCACGGGGUUCUGUGGAAUUGAUUUGUGUCAUGAGCGAAUACCUACCUGAAAACAUCGCAGUGAGCUGGCAGAAAAACGGACAAGCUGUACGGUCCGGCUUUACCACCAGUCCUCCGGCUAAAACAUCAGACGAAACGUUUACGUCAACAAGUGUGCUCAAAGUGCCUGUGAACGAAUGGGCCAGUGGUGCUGUGUACUCGUGCCAAGUAUCCCACUCUGCAACCAGCAGCAACAUCCACAAAGAAAUACGAGCUGAGUCAGGUUUCGCAUUAUUUCUCAGAGAUCCUACCGUUGAAGAAAUGUGGAUAAACAAAACUGCCACACUGGUGUGUGAAGUGAUCGCUACAACUCCAGCUGAGGUUUCCAUCUCUUGGACAGUGGGUGGGAAGGAAAGAGCUGAUGGUGUUCAAACAGAACAAGCAGCAAAGAUCGGGAGUCAGUACUUGACAGUCGGCCGUUUGACCAGCAGCGUGGCCGAGUGGGACAGCGGGGUAGAAUACUCCUGCUCGGUGCAGGACAAUCAAUCAGCUGCUCCCCUAUCAAAAAGGACACAAAACGCAAAAGUCAAAGCAGUGGAACCAAGGGUACGCCUCUUGCCCCCGUCUCCAGAGGAGAUUAAAACUGCGGGUAUCGUUACGCUCACAUGCACGAUAACGGGAUUCUACCCCGAUGACAUAACCGUUUUGUGGCAGAAGGACGGAGCCGCAUUCUACUCGAACGCUACCAGCUUCCCCACUGCACUUCAACAGGACAUGACCUUCAACACCAGAAGCCUCCUUUACUUGACUUCAGCCGAUUGGAAGAAGGACGCAACAUACUCCUGUGUCGUCACGCACCCACCUUCACAAUCUACUGUGAAAGCAAACAUCAGCACCCCGAAAGAAUGCCGUGAGGCUGAUAUUAAUGUCAUCAUAAAAAAGCCUUCGUUUGAAGAGAUUUGGACAAUUCGGAGAGCAACAAUUGUGUGCGAAGUGGUUUACGCAGAUUUGCAGAAUGUCAUAGUCUCCUGGCGAGUAAAUGGAAGUCGGAGAGUGAACGGAGUGGAGACACACGGUCCAGAGUGGAGGGGAAGUAAAUCCGUCAUCGUCACCAAACUGAAGGUCAGUGUAGAGGAAUGGAACAGUGGAACCGAAUACCUGUGCUUCGUAGAAGGCCGUGAUCUGCCAACACCAGUGACAAAGGCCACCAAAAAAACCAAGGUUACUGAAAUGCACAGCCCUAAAGCUUACCUCUUGUACCCAUCAGCUGAGGAGAUUCAAGCCGAGGAAGCAGCUACCCUAAUUUGCCUCGCGACCGGUUUUUAUCCGGAAGAUAUAUACGUCGGUUGGAUGGCCAAUGACACUCUUUUGCAUUCGGGAUACUCCAUCCAACCUAACAGCAAUAAGGAAAACGGCUCUAACUCGGUAACCAGCAAGUUGAGGAUCAGCGCAGAAGAUUGGGAGAAGGGAACCACCUAUAGCUGUUUGGUUGGACAUCCGUCGCUAUCAACAAGUUUAGUCAGAAGUAUUAAUAAAUUCCACGGUAAACCUACUUUAGUUAACGUGUCACUCGUUCUAACUGACAGCUUUAAAUCGUGUGUCUAAUUAUCCGUGAAUUAAUUACUAAUAGUUUGGAAGUGUGUAUUGCUUACUGCGUAGCUGCUUGAGUUUCCGUUUUGCUGAUUUACUGAAGACCACGCAUAGCAUUCACUCUUCAGAUUAUCCCACCGUAAAUGAAAUAUUUCCUUAAUCUCAUCAGUUCGAUAACGUUGUGAUGAGCUCUAGAUAACAUUGGAAUGCUUUUAACUUUACGGUGAUUUUGAAAAUAUAGUACUUCGGAGAUGUUAGUAAGUCGCGGAAUAGAUAGCAGAGAGCAAUUUAUUCUGUAUGCUACAUUACAUUGAAAUAAAUUCG